ACAUGUCUAUUUUAACCUAAAAACCCAUUUUAUGUUUCUUCUGUCAACCUUCAAAGAAAACUGAUGCUCCAAAAAGAUGCCUUCUUACCAUUUUACGGAUGAGGCUUAGUGGUUGUUAAUUGGUGAUACACAGAUACAAUCCUGCUCUCCCAAAUAGGUGUCCUGUGCUCACAUGUACACAACACCCAGUCACCUCUGCCGUCACAACGCAGCAUCUCCGGACUCGCCUUUGCCCGGCCGCCUUCUGCACCUGAGCGCGUCCCUCGGGCGCGUCCCCACGUCUCCCUGCUAGCCCGUGAUUCCUUUCCCUGUCGUCGCCUCCAAAUGGUCCAGAAAGAGAGCACCAGGUCCCACCUUCACUCACCCUCAGCGCUAAGCGACCGAGGUUUGCGGUCACCGACAAAGAUGAAAUGUCAGCCCUUUGCGUGCAGAGGGCGUACCAGCUCCUCCAGAUAUCUAUCCGGCGCCGCCGCCGCUCGGACUCCGGUGGCCGAGACCAGGUGUCAGUUCUCAUACUAGUCUGAGCGUCUGCUUUUCCGGCCAGGACUACAUUUCCCACAGACGCUGCGGCUCGAGGCGGCGUCGCUUCGAAACGGGCAUCUUGUUCCGUGCCUACGGCGGCGCUCGAGCCGCCCGGGUCCAGGCGCCUGGAGGCCUGACGGUUGCAUCCGGCCGACCGGCUCCGCGUACCAGCCGCUCCGCGUCGGGUCUGGCGGUUCUGUUUGGCGCGGAGAAGCUGUACGAGCCCAGUGUCCACGCUGAGAGGAGUCCCGAGGCCUGCUGCCCGCUUCCGGACUACAUUUUCCAGAGGACUCCGCAGGUGGACGCUACCUUCCUCAGGAUUUCGGCCGCUUUGCGGGAUGGCGGAACCGUUGGCUUCCCCGAGUUAGUAGCUGCGGGGCGUUUGGAGUUCGGGGCAACUUAACCUGUUCGGGCCAGAACGGAACUAGGGAAGGACUAGGGUGAGGAGUUCAGUUUCUGCUAAGAGGAAGACUAAAGAAUGAUUAUUGAACAGCCAGAGGCCACGAUCAAGAUCAACAGACAAGAGAUCAAGGUACAGAAGUCUUCAGUGCCAUCUAAACGACAUCUGUAGAUUGACAGCAGAGUAUGUAUUCUUUACAGUUGCAUGUGGAAUAUUCACCAUGAUAAACAAUAUUCUGGAUAAACUAAAUCUUCAUAAAUGUAAAAGAACUAAAAUCAUGCCAAGCAUUUUCCUUACCAGAAUUGAAUUAAAUUAGAAAAAAGUAACAAAGAUAUUUAGCAAGUCCACAAAUACUUAAAAAUUAAACAACUGACAUGUAAUCAACCCAUGAGUCAAACAGGAAGUCUCAAAUGAAAUUGGAGGAUAUUUUCAACUGAACAAAAGUGGAAAUACACGAUACUUAUUAAUUUAUAAGUAUAGCCACAGCAAGUACCAAGAGGGAAAUUCUUUUUUUUUUUUAUAAGAUUUUAUUAAUUUGUUAGAGAGAGCGAGAGAGGCACAAACAGGGGGAGUGGCAGGCAGAGGGAGGUGCCUGACAUGGGACUUGAUCCCGGGGUCCUGGGAUCAUAACCUAAGUGAAGGCAGACACUUAAUGGACUGGGCUGCCCAGGCAUCUCCCAAGAGGGAAAUUUUUAGCAACCAAAUGGGUUGGUAUCAGAGUAAGUGUAAUAUGGUCAAGAUCUUCACCACCAUCCAGGCUAACCAGGCCACACUCUUUUCUAUGGUGAAUAUAGAGGGCAAAUGAGCAGUAAAGAGGUAUUCCUACCUCUCCCAGCCAGUUAGGUAUAAAAAGGAGGCUGGUAGGGUGCCAGCACUACCAUUCACACAUAAUAGGAGGACUCCUCCAUCCCCCUGUCAGUGGAGACUGAAUCUCUCACCUGCACAAGAUGGCACACCCCCUUCCCAUGUGAGUGGAGUCAGAGAAUGCCAGCUUAAACAAGGUUUAAAUAUGAUUUAAAUCUUAACACAAAAUUUUCACACUUCAACUAAAAAUUUAUCAUGAUACCAAGAACCAGGAAAAUCUCAAAAUGAGUGAAAAAAAGAUAUUCAAAAGAGUAUCAAGAUGACAGAGAUGUUAGAAUUGUCUCAUAAAUACCUCAAACUUCAUAAAAAUGCCUGAAACAAA
Mustela erminea (ermine) is the source of this 2108-nucleotide long non-coding RNA. RefSeq lists it as uncharacterized. The transcript has 3 exons. NCBI's taxonomy places the organism in Eukaryota, Metazoa, Chordata, Mammalia, Carnivora, Mustelidae. The record is from RefSeq and is a predicted model, not a curated record.